ACAUUUUGCUCUCUUUAGGAAAAGACAACAUUGAUUUUAGAGGUUUUUGUUAUGGAGGCCAGGGGGAUUUUUCCAGUGCAGCACAGAGAAAUCUGGGUUUGGAUUGGGAAGCCAGACAUUUCUUGGCUUACAUUUCCUACUUGAAUGGGAUUCGUUUGCCCCCUCCUCACCUCUCCCCAACCCCCAGGCAGCUAGAAGCCCCACCUCCUUGCUUGGACCAUAUGGGGAAGCUGGCUCGGUGGCUGUUAUUCUACUGACUCCAAGUUCACGCAGCUGUUCAUCCCCUGCUUAAUGUACUGGUGAGUUCCUUGAAGCCCUGAACCGAGGACUUCUUGUGUACUUUAACAUUUGUUAUAUCUGAAGAUAUUCUGAUUGGCAACAUUUUUAACAUAGAGAACUGUUUAAAGAAAAUACCGCCAGCACACAACUCAUCCACAAAUUGCUGUUUUUGAAAAAGAUGGAGAGGCUGUGACUGAGAUCAUCAGAGAACCAGCCCGGCACCCCAAACAUAAUAGGGCAAAGGAGUCAGAUGAGAAUUUUGUUCAGUAUGAGACACUGGACAACAAGACAGGACCCUUGACCUCAGAAAUGCAGGAAUUCAGGAAUAUUAUAGAACAUGAAGUAGCAGAGCCGUGGAGGAGAAUUUAUAGCACUAAUCUUGAGCACUUUCCCCCGAGGACUCUGCGCUGUUUUCACAAAGGCCUCUCGGAAUGCCAGGCUGUGAAAGGUAGAAAUGUAAACACGGGGACAGGAGUGUCCUUCAGUCUAAAGAGUGAGCCACGCAGGUUUCUAGUUGCCAGCAUUCCAGUAGUGGUACUGGGAAAUGGUUUUAUAGGAUAAACAAAUCACCCAAAUGCAGAAAAUGCAAUUCCACUGAAGCAAAUCCAACUUCCUUUCCUGACGGAGAAUGUAAUUAAAUCCUGCUUCAGGAGGACGGUUUAUAUCCUCUGCUGCUGGGGGUCUCGGCUCAUGCUCAUCGCUGGUGUUUACAAGAUGACAUUACCUGCCUCCUGUGACAUGCUGAGGCAGCCCUGACUUUGAAGAUGGGGCGGUGGUGCAUGUGAGGGAAGGGGGAUGAGUGAGGCUGUGUUUCAUUUGCAGAGCUUGGCUGUUCAUCUCUCACAUUCACAUCUGACACCAGAAGCCCACACCAUGCUUGGCUUUUCCAAAACAGUGAUUCUAAUGUAACACCCUAAUAAGCUGUGUUAACUCACCUUUCAGAAGGAGGCUGGGGGGACAUACAUCACAACAAGUUGAGAGGAAGGGGUGAUUGUAACAAUAUUAAAUAUAAUUAUCACCAGCAGAAGUUCUAUGAGAUGAAGUGAAUGAAUCACAGCUCAUGAUGUCUUCAAAAUACAAUUAAAAGUGCAAUUUUACUUUAUUUAUUUAGUUAUUCCUUGUAUUUUAAAAGUUGAGUCACUGGCAGUAAUCUCAUCAUGUCCUAAAUUAAAAAAAUCUAAGAGGUUCAUGAAUUUGCUACUCAUUUUUGGUCCUGCAGUCACUUUGUAACACACAAUCUCUAUUUGGAACAUAGAAUGUCCUGUCCAAGAUAUUAAUCAAAACUCAAGCUUGUUGUGAUAUCAACUAUCACAUCUUCUCCCUUCUCAGUUUGGAUCUGCUUCUCCCUGGAAAUAGACAAAGGGAAAGGGCUGUGGGAGUAGAGCUUGAGAGGCACCUGAUUUCCUUUCUAUCUUUUACACUGUGAUCCUUAUCCUCCCUCUAACAGCAGCUCACCAGACAGUGUCUGUCAUUCAGAUCCUGGCAGCGGGGAGACAGAGGAAAAGCCUUAUUUGAACUGGACCUUCCUUAUCAGGCUUCUCAUUUUCAGGGUUCAACAGAUGGCUAAGGUUGAUGUUUCUGCUCGAGAGUCAUCUUCAUGGAUUUGCAGAAGACCCCACUCCUGAAAUCCCUUUCACCUGGGCCGAUGCAUCUAAUUAUGAUGGUAGAUUGAAAGCUUUUCAGCUCCCAGGGACACAGCAUUCAUUUCCAUCUUCUCCUGUGGGGAUCCCUGGCCCAUCUAGUUGGAUUUCUUAGAAGGACUUAAGGGCUCUACAUUGGUUCUCUCUCCCACAUAAAACAAGGAAGGGAGCAUAUUUGCUCCUUUAUUCCAGCACUCUGAAGUGCAGGCAGGCCCUCCCCAAGGCAGUGACCCCUACCCCUCUACCUGAAGCCACUAUGCCUUUGGCAGUCAUGAGUCAAGCUGAGCCCAUAUUUCCCACACAUUCCAUGGCCCUCUGAAUCAUUACGUAGUCACUCCUCACUAGACUUGGGAUGGAAUGGGGUACCACUACCUGUGGAAGAAGAAUGACACCAUGGCCAGUAACAGCUCUCUCCCAAGGCAUCUCUCCACUGUGCUCUCUUUCCCUCUCCUCUGUAAAUACUUUUAUAGCCUUGAAAAAAAGGAGGAGACAUAAGAAUUAUGCAAUAGUUUUUUUUUAACCUUUGUAAAAUCUGUUUAUAGUAAACUCUCUCAUACACAUCUUGUUAUCUGAUGUUAAUUAUUGGAACCUCAUUCAAAGCUAUGUUAGAAAGAGCCCCAUUUAAGCUUCUCUUAAAUUUAUAAAAGAAAAUUGUUCAUAAAUUAAAUUAUAAGGAAAAGAAAGUUGAUUUUCUAUAUUCUUCCAUGUUUGAUCUUUCCACAUGGUCAUGGAAACCACCUCACGCCUCUUAAUUUUUUAGUUCUUUUGACAGAAAACACAGAAACUAUGGUUCCCAACACCAUAGGGCAGUACUACCACAGUCUCCACCACCUCAAGCAAUAGACUUUCCAACCUCUUCUCUCCAUUAAACUUCUCUAUUACCAGACUCUUACUAAAUUAUCUUACUAAAGAUAGUUUUUGAAUGUCUCUCUUGUGCUAAGAAUUGUAGAGUUCUGGUGGCAGAAGAUGACAGAGAGUUUUUUUUCUUUUUGUCCUAGAAGAAUUUAUAGUUUAUUCUAGUUCUUUCCAUUGGAAUCUGAAACAAUAUACAAAAACAGUGCAAUAGUUUUUUUCAAUACAUUUUGAUCAAUGUGGAAAUACAUUUUUGUAACAGUUGAGGAUUCAUACUGUAUAUUAUAACGUUGGUCAGAAUAACUGAGUCUGAUGAUUGAGUUGGGAGACGCAUGGUGGGGCACGGAAGAAUGUGCCCCUUUAGGUCAGAGGUAAGCUGGUGCCACCAAAAGGAACUUUGUUUAUCACAAUCCACUAGAACUUUUAAUUUCUUUGUGUUUGUAUUUUCUUUCAUAGGACAAGGUCAGGGAAAUAAGCAUUUCUACUCAAACUCCCAAAUAGUACUGAAAGAAUACCAAAUGAAUAGGACUAUAAUGGUAUAUUUUAAACAUUUUUUUCAAAAGAAUUGGCAUUUACCUUUUAACUCCUUCAAUGUCACCCUAAGCUCUAGUGCUAGUAACUCAGAAAAUUUAACAACCACUGAUCCAUUCACUAUUAAAGAAAAUGUUAUAAACUCAUUUGGACUGAGGUGUUAAUUGUUAUUUUUAAGGUUAAUGGUUAUUAGUUGUUCUUGAUCUUCUAGGAUAACAUUUGCAUUUUAGGCUUUAAAAAAAAUCCCAAAUGUCCUUAAACCUGAAGGACUUGGUUAGAUAAAUAUUUUGGGGAAUGAUGGCAAAGCCUGCUGUGGCAAUUUUUUGAUAGGGUGAAUACCAGUACUGGCUGAUCCUCCCACUCAAGAAACACACUUAAAUCCAGUGUUGGCUUUGGGAAUGCUGAGAAAACAUUGGCUUUGGGAAUAGAGAAAGAAAACAUCAGUAGAAAAAUGAAAAACAGAAGUGAUUUGAAGGACAGCUUUAGGCUUCACCAUAUUCUGUACCCAUUAAAUAACUCCCCAUUUUUCCCUACUCCCAGUCCCUGACAACCACCAUUUUAAUUUCUAUUUUUAUGAAUUUGACUAAUCUAGAUAACUUCAUGUAAUUAAAAUCAUACAACUUUUACCUUUUUGUGAUUGUCUUAUUUUAUUUAGCAUAAUGUCAUUAAGAUAUAUCCAUGUUUAACCCAUGCCAGAAUUUUCUUCCUUUUUAAGGCUGAAUAGUAUUUCGUUAUGUGUAUACACCACAUUUUGUUUAUUCAUUCAGCUAUGGAUAGAAACUUGGGUUGCUUUUAUUUUUCGCUAUUGUAGACAGUGCUGCCGUGAGCAUGGGUAUGCAAAUAUCUCUUCAGGAUCCUGCUUUCAAUUCUUCUGGAUAAAUAUAAAGAAGUGAGAUUGCUGGAUCACAUGACAAUUCUACUUUUUAUUUUUUGAGGAACUUCCAUACUGUUUUUCACAGUGUCUGCACAAUUUUACAUUCCCACCAACAGUGUACAAAGGUGUCAAUUUCUCUGCAUCCUCACCAGCACUGGUUAUUUUCUGGGUUUUUUUUUUUUUCUUUUUGAUAGUUGCCAUUUUCAUGGGUGGGAGUGAUAUCUCAUUGUGGUUUAGAUUUGCAUUUCUCUAAUGAUUAAUGAUGUUGAGUAUCUUUUCAUAUGUUUGUUGAUCAUUUGCAUAUCCUCUUUGGAGAAAUGUUUAUUCUUUUGCCCAUUUUAAAAUCAAGUUUCAAUGCUUCCUGCUAUUUAUUUUAAAUGUGCUUUACAAGUUAGAACUUGUGAAUUUUGACCAGCAUGAUGUAAUGCCACUCAGCAUGGCUUUUCAGGCUGGUGUCGGGCUGGUAGAAGGAUGAGUUAGAAUGAGCAAGGCCAAAACUCAGAGUUCAGACAGGGGCAGGGGAAGAUAGAUAGUCCAGAGAGAAUCAUUCCUUUCUUCCUUCAUGCAAACACACGUGCAAAUAGCAAGGAUUUGUUCCAUGCUGCCAUGUGCUAGGCACUGAGCUAGAGAUAUGAAAAGGGACACAAAGUGGGACAGGAUACCUUUGGGGUUUGGAAGGUAGAAUCUGCACUUAGACUGCUUGGGUGUGAAUUUUAGCUGCAGUAUCUGCAGCGUGUGGACAUAUUUUGACUGGGUUACAUCAUAAAGAGCUUUUAUCUCAUGCUAAGGGCUUACUUGUAAAGCUGUAAGACUGGGACCCAUUGAAGGGUUUUAGGUAUUACAAGCUUCAAAGAAAAACAAAUGAAAUAAUCUAAACUUUUAAGGAAACUAUCAUAGAAAGACAGAUUUAGAAAACAGAAAGGGGAAUAAAAUCCCCCUAAAAGCAAGGGCUGUAAUGGACACAAUUAAAUGCUAGGGUCUUGGUUCUAUAGUUCUAUAGUUGACUAGUUAUAUGACCUGACAAAGUCAUUUUAACUCUCUGGCCCAAGGUUUUCUUAUAUAUAAAACAGGGAUAAUGCCUUACAAAACUUAAAAAAAAUAAUUAACUAAGAAGAUGUACUCAAAAGUGUAUUGCAAGGGUUUCUUUUUUAAUUUUUCUUUCUUUUUUUUUUUUUUUUUUUUUUGGCACACAGGAGCAGUAUGCUGUGUUUUAAAGGACAUUUUAAAAAUUGGCUUGGUUUCCUCUACUCACACCAUUUUAGCCCCCGCAUUUGGGGCUAUUUCACCCUCAUUUGCAAGCUUAGACCCGAGCCAGGGUCUGAGAUUCAUCAGGCUCCAACCCAUGCCAGUUUAGUUUUUUUCUGAUGUUUUUCUUUUUUUUCCCCCCAGAAAUUUGGCUAUUAUACUUUAAAAAAAAAAAAAAAUCUUGCUUAGACUGUUUGCUCCCCUAUUUUCUUCUUCCCUUUCCCCUCAGCAUCAUGUAUUGGAAAAAAGGUGAAAGUCUGGAUUAAUGAAUCCAAAAAUUAAUGUUACCUUGUAUUUUUACCUGUAUUGUUACUUGUAUUUUUCUAAGGCACCAUAAUCACACUACAAAGAGGUGAAGACACACAACACUACAGUGAAGGAUAGAAUGCUAGUUCCAGUUUGAUUUUCAUUAUUUUUCAAGAUUUUCUUUGGCGCUGAGUAUUCUGUUGAAAAUUUUUUUACACUGAAAUAUCAGGAGAUAGAGUUUUAGGAGAAUACACAACCAGGUGUAUGCCCUGGACAGUCUAUCUCAGAAACACAAAUGUUUUGUUCUUUCCAGAAGGGAAAGAAGAGAGCAGCAACUGGCCACCUGGCACUCCUGCAACUCCUCUCUGAUCAGGAAGGAAACUGCCUGGGCUCCUGUGGAAAAUUAGCUUAUUCUCAUGGCUUUGGAAUAUGUUUCUCCAUUCAUUAAGAAUAUCUUUCUAUCAGAAUGGGCUAGGGGAGAAGCAAGAGAGAAAUUUACUUUUUGAUCUAGAGAUCAAAAACUGAAAAGCCUUUGUUUGUUUGUUUGUUUUUAUAAGAAAGAAUAGCAGAACAGAAUUAGAAUGUAGAUUUGAAGAAACAUAAGGAAAAAUAAAUCCAUGAUUAUGUGAAUUGAUUAAUGUAUUGUGUGUUUCUUUGACUAUUUUAAUUAUUAAUAUAUAAAUAUAAAUCAGGCUGCGGAAGACUAGGAGGAAGAUUAUGUGCUUCCUGAUCAAAUUAUAGCCCCAGCACAUGGCACAGUGGCUAUAGUAGAUAUUCAAUAAACACUUGUUAAAUGAAAGAAGGUAAGGAGAAGGAAGAAAGGAAUGAAAUACAUAGGGAAGGCGAAAAGGAGGGAGUGAUCAAAGAAGGCAAGAAGGAACAUAUACAACUGACGUGUGAUUUCUCUGUUGAAACUGACAAGGGUACAAUUGCAUUAUUUACCUUGUUCAAUAAAAUAAAUCUGAAGAUUUUCACAAACAAUGUUGUGGAGUGAGCAUUCCAUAUUCUUAUCUAUAAUAAACAACAGGGAUGAAGUGAACAUUUGAGGGAGAACCUUGGUAAUGAAUUAUUAGAUAAAUUAUUUCAUGCAGUUUCCAUUCACUUUUCAAAAACAAAGAGAUUGGAUUAGAAUCAUCCAUUCACAUUGACAUUCAUCAAUAAAGUUAUAGAUGACUCAGCAAUUAUCUAACCCAAAGCCUUAAUUGAAGAUGCAGCUGUCUGGAAAUAUUCUCCCCCGCUACUUCCAAAAUACCUCCUUUAAAUUUGAAUUGUGGAAUGUUUCUUUAUUGGAAAAAUAAGAGCUAACAUUUAUUCAGUGUUGACAAUGUGGUGUGAACACCUAUUCUAAUCACAUAGACACACACACAUAAAAUCCUUUAAUUUUCACUAGAACUCAAGAUAUGAUAGAUAUUAUCAUAGAGCCCAGUUUUACAGAUGAAGAAACUGAAGAAUGGAGAGGUUAAGUAACCUGCUUAGUAGAAGCAGAAUUCAAGUUCAGACCAACUGACUCCAGAGGCUGUGCUUAUAUCUACUGUGUCUCAUUGUACUUUCUGCUUAUAUUUUAAGUCUUUAUGUGCAUGGUUUGUUUUUGCUUCUAGUACAGUGGUUCUCAACUAGGGGAUUGUUAGCAAAUCUGGAGAUAUUUUUGAGGUGCAAGAAAUGUGGUGGAACAUUCUAGAAUGCACAGGACAGUGUACCACAACAAAGAAUUAUCUAGCCAGAGGUUGAGAAACCUUGUUGCAGAGUAUUAGACACUAAAGGACAAGAAUUAUGCCUUACUUACAUUUGUAUAGCAUUUGGAACAGAGUUGGCUGAAAAUUAAUAUUUGUCCAUGAAAAACUUAAGUUACCUAGUCUGUUAAAAGGAAGGAGUUUUACAUAAUAAUCAAUAAGGUACUACUGAACUCUAACUCAGCAAAUUAAUGUCUGUGUCCUGGAAACAUACAGUUUACCUAUUGAGGCCAAGGUACUGGUUUUUCCUGCCUCUUAACUGUAUGAUGCUAUGUUAUGAAAUUAUAUAGAUUAAAAGCAAAAGAGUAUAGGUGAGUAUCAUUAGAAAAAAAGGUAAGUAAGCAUACAAAAUAUAGUUUUUAUUUAAUGAAUAUGAGAAACAGAUGGAAAAGUGAUAUUACUCACCUUAAGAAUUUACCAGCUGCAAGGAAAGUAUAAUUUAUACAAAAUUUUGGAAUGAAUGAGUUUUAUACCUAACAUCAUUAGGC
This 7885-nucleotide long non-coding RNA is filed under the name Homo sapiens (human). RNAcentral describes it as "non-protein coding lnc-IRS1-2:4". Lineage: Eukaryota; Metazoa; Chordata; Mammalia; Primates; Hominidae. The record is from RNAcentral.